This 309-nucleotide unclassified non-coding RNA is filed under the name fungal sp. RNAcentral's name for it is "partial internal transcribed spacer region". The stretch from base 1 to 46 matches the Rfam family "Eukaryotic small subunit ribosomal RNA", at positions 1786 to 1831 of the family's 1831-position model. The record is from RNAcentral. Lineage: Eukaryota; Fungi.
AAGUCGUAACAAGGUUUCCGUAGGUGAACCUGCGGAAGGAUCAUUGACAAAUCUAAAACAUUGUUGCUUGGAGGGAGAGAGCUUUUGUUGUCUCUCUUCAAGUAUACAAAACAUUCUAACCUGUGAAUUGGCAGUACGCAAGUACUGUUUUAUUGGUUGUGUGGCAUGUGUACGUGCAUCAUUUGCUUGCUGAAUUUGCAAGGGAGUAGUGUGUGUACAUGUGUUCUGCUUCCUUUAAACAUUUACGUAAAGAAUUGUCUUAAAAAACAAACAAAAAUACAACUUUUAGCAAUGGAUCUCUUGGCUUCU